GGCUUCCUGGCUGCUGCUGUUUUUUCCCCAUGUGGGAACCCUAGUGCCUUGAGGGUUCCCCUCUAACUCUGUCCUUUCCUGGCUACCUGAGCCCUGUGAAUACCAUCAGUCUGUGUGACAAGUAGUUAGAAAACUACUAAGAAAAUAACUGAACAGGAAAAUGUGGCAGGUUAUUCCUCAUCUGACACACUUCGCGGUACAUUUGGAAAACAGUUUUACCAAUGCAUGGAAUUUCAAUAUGGUAAAAUGCUUGGCUUCCGGCCACCCCCAGAAUACACCCAACACACUUUUGAAGAGUCUCAAAAGUAACCUCAGCACACACAUUUGAUUUGGGAGGGCAGGUGACAGAGACUCAGAACUCCGUGGUACUGUUCCAAGUUCUGCUGCUGACUGACUGUGACUUUUGAUAAAUCGCUACAGCUCCAAUCCUGAAACCUGCUGAGUAUACCCUGGAAAGUGCUGAGCAACCUAAGCUCCCACAAGACCUGGCCCAUAACAAGUCUGUGCUUAUGUGUACUCAUCUGUAUAAUGGCCAUAAUAAUAUUUACCUAACUCAGAGGACUGUUGUGAAACUUAAUUCAUUAAUAUCUGUAAAUUACUUUGGGCCAAAUUAAACCAUUGCUCAGUGGCUUGUGUAGCUGCACCACCCCAUGAUAAGCUCAAAGAGUCACCAUUCGUUCCCUGCUCCCCGGAGAAGUAAUCUGCUACAGUCUUUUGCCAGGCACAGAUGACUUUCCUCAUGCCAGCUCAGCUGGCCAGAAUAUUGGUGGGGUGCCCAGGGAGGGGAGUGCCAGACGUGUAGUUCUUCCUUCCUCCCUUAUGCUGAGAUCCAAAAUGUGGGGAAUGGAGCUGUGUGUGAAUAACGGGGUAGUUCUUAGUUUGCUUGCAAUUAAAAGAAACAAAUCAUUUCGGGUUGAACCAAAAAUGAAUUAAAAAAACAAAUGUUCAGGAAAUUGAAAAGUCAAAAAUCAUUGUUCUGGACUGAACAAAAUGUUUCGUUCACCCCAAAAUGAAAUGCUUCAUUUUGAUUUUGAGCAUUGUUUUACAUUUUUAUGUUAAACAAAUCGAAGGAAACAUUGAAAUUUCAAACCAAGAAACUGGAAUGUUUUAUCUAGAAAAUGAAGCACUCUGACUGUUUUGGAGGUUGUUUUUUUUUUGAGAGAUUGAGGGGAUUUUAGCACCGACACAAAUUCGCCAAAUGUUUGUUGUCACCAAAUCUGCAUUUUUCACACACACACAAAAAAGUUUUGGCUGAGAAAUUUCACCAUGUAAGGAAGCUGACCUUUUGUGGCAGUAUGGUCCAAUGGAUAGGUCACUGGAGUGGGAAUCGGGAGACCUAGGCUCUAAACCCUGUCACUGACCUGCUGUGUGACCUUGGAUAAAUCAGUUAAUCUCUCUGUGCCUCCAU
Molecule: long non-coding RNA, 1408 nt
Organism: Mauremys reevesii (Reeves's turtle)
Lineage: Eukaryota; Metazoa; Chordata; Testudines; Geoemydidae
Exons: 4
Source: RefSeq, a predicted model, not a curated record